GGGGUAGCGGUGAAAUGCGUUGAUCCCUGGGGGACCACCUGUGGCGAAGGCGCCCGGCUGGAACGGGUCCGACGGUGAGGGACGAAGGCCGGGGGAGCAAACCGGAUUAGAUACCCGGGUAGUCCCGGCUGUAAACUCUGCGGACUAGGUGUCGCGUCGGCUUCGGGCCGGCGCGGUGCCGAAGGGAAGCCGUUAAGUCCGCCGCCUGGGGAGUACGGUCGCAAGACUGAAACUUAAAGGAAUUGGCGGGGGAGCACUACAACGGGUGGAGCCUGCGGUUUAAUUGGAUUCAACGCCGGGCAUCUUACCAGGGGCGACGGCAGGAUGAAGGCCAGGUUGACGACCUUGCCAGACGCGCCGAGAGGUGGUGCAUGGCCGUCGUCAGCUCGUACCGUGAGGCGUCCUGUUAAGUCAGGUAACGAGCGAGACCCGUGCCCCAUGUUGCCAUCCCCUCCUCCGGGAGGGGGGCACUCAUGGGGGACCGCCGGCGAAAAGCCGGAGGAAGGUGCGGGCAACGACAGGUCCGCAUGCCCCGAAUCCCCUGGGCUACACGCGGGCUACAAUGGCCGGGACAAUGGGAUGCGACCCCGAAAGGGGGAGCAAAUCCCCUAAACCCGGUCGUAGUCCGGAUCGAGGGCUGUAACUCGCCCUCGUGAAGCCGGAAUCCGUAGUAAUCGCGCCUCA
RNAcentral lists this ribosomal RNA (684 nucleotides) under uncultured archaeon. RNAcentral's name for it is "bacterial SSU rRNA". It matches the Rfam family "Archaeal small subunit ribosomal RNA", at positions 623 to 1307 of the family's 1478-position model. The record is from RNAcentral.